Argiope bruennichi is the source of this 129-nucleotide small nuclear RNA. Lineage: Eukaryota; Metazoa; Arthropoda; Arachnida; Araneae; Araneidae. The record is from RefSeq and is a predicted model, not a curated record.
GUGUUAUAUGAAAGGAGAGAAGGUUAGCACUCCCCUUGACAAGGACGGAAUGGCCUCUGGGCCUAUAACACAUAUACACGGUUAAGGCACAUGGUUGCUUACUUCGCAGCCACUUAACCGCAAUUUUUU